RNAcentral lists this ribosomal RNA (497 nucleotides) under uncultured bacterium. RNAcentral describes it as "partial 16S ribosomal RNA". It matches the Rfam family "Bacterial small subunit ribosomal RNA", at positions 28 to 507 of the family's 1533-position model. The record is from RNAcentral.
GAUGAACGCUGGCGGCGUGCCUAAUACAUGCAAGUCGAGCGAACGGACGAGAAGCUUGCUUCUCUGAUGUUAGCGGCGGACGGGUGAGUAACACGUGGAUAACCUACCUAUAAGACUGGGAUGACUUCGGGAAACCGGAGCUAAUACCGGCUAAUAUUUUGAACCGCAUGGUUCAAAAGUGAAAGACGGCCUUGCUGUCACUUAUAGAUGGAUCCGCGCUGCAUUAGCUAGUUGGUAAGGUAACGGCUUACCAAGGCAACGAUGCAUAGCCGACCUGAGAGGGUGAUCGGCCACACUGGAACUGAGACACGGUCCAGACUCCUACGGGAGGCAGCAGUAGGGAAUCUUCCGCAAUGGGCGAAAGCCUGACGGAGCAACGCCGCGUGAGUGAUGAAGGUCUUCGGAUCGUAAAACUCUGUUAUUAGGGAAGAACAUAUGUGGAAGUAACUGUGCACAUCUUGACGGUACCUAAUCAGAAAGCCACGGCUAACUACGUG